AUUACGGGAGGCAGCAGUGGGGAAUCUUAGACAAUGGGCGAAAGCCUGAUCUAGACAUGCCGCGUGAGUGACGAAGGUCUUAGGAUCGUAAAGCUCUUUCGCCAGAGAUGAUAAUGACAGUAUCUGGUAAAGAAACCCCGGCUAACUCCGUGCCAGCAGCCGCGGUAAU
RNAcentral lists this ribosomal RNA (169 nucleotides) under uncultured bacterium. RNAcentral's name for it is "partial 16S ribosomal RNA". It matches the Rfam family "Bacterial small subunit ribosomal RNA", at positions 338 to 524 of the family's 1533-position model. The record is from RNAcentral.